Tarenaya hassleriana is the source of this 1870-nucleotide long non-coding RNA. RefSeq lists it as uncharacterized. The transcript is spliced from 3 exons. NCBI's taxonomy places the organism in Eukaryota, Viridiplantae, Streptophyta, Magnoliopsida, Brassicales, Cleomaceae. The record is from RefSeq and is a predicted model, not a curated record.
CACCGAUACAGUGCCUUGACACUUUUCGCGGCUUCUUGUUCUUGAUGGCAGAAAGCGGGAAAAUUCCUCAGAAUUUCUGCAGAGGGAGUUGUUGGAGAAAUGAAGAAACCGCCAUUGCAGGUGCAGAACGUGAACCGCUUCGAUAAGAACGUCGUCGGAGGUAAAGAAGCUCUUGCGAUGGCAUUUCUCGGUGAUCCGGAUUUCAGAGGGAAGCAGCUUAGAGGCCAAUUAAGCUUUGUUCUAUCAGGAAGGGAUGUUUUUGUUUGAUGCCUAGGAGAAGAGGAAAAUCUACUUUUAUCAGAUUCGUGCAGAUUCACUGAGCAACGAAUCUGGAAUGGCUCCAACUCAUGCUCUGUUUCCUCCCUCUUGUUCUUGUGUUUACACCUUCACAGCUUUGAGGUGUAACUUUGUGUCUGAGAGUCAUUGAAGCAGCCUCCCAAUUUCCCGGCAGCACAAUGCAAACAUGCCAUUGUUGCCUGUAACUGUAAGCACCCAAAUCUGAGUGGCUCGCUGUUUGGUUGUGGAGCUCGCGAGCAUUACCUCCUUGCCAAAGGCGCAGUUCUUUGCAAAUUUUGACUACCAGGUUGUCAUCGUGCACACCCUUCUGACAAGCUUGAGUUUCAGUCGAGUAGCUUAUCAGAGAACAUAUUGUUACGAUUUGGUUGUUAGCUUAUGUCGAUUCCCUAUACAUUCAUAUAUCUGUUGAUAUGUUCUGUUCCUAUAUUUCAGCAAGUUCUAUCUGUUUGUACAGCUAUUUAGGGAACACAUCCUUCCCGAUAUUUGAAUAAGAAAUUCCAUUCUUUCAUUUUCACUUCUAUAGUUUCACAUGGUAUCAGAGCACAUCUUCUGAUUCCUCUUUCCCCUUUUCGCUUUCCUUCAUGUCGAGUCAAUCAGAUGCUGAGGAUACCCAUUUCUACUGAGCUUGAUAUGCUCUCUUUCGCAGCUCAAACAAUAUGGCUGAUGAAGGAGCUGGCAUGGUGACGGAGAGGCAAGCGGUUCUGAUGAGUGCAUAUCAGAUUCAGACGGUAACCCUCUUGAAUCAGCAAAUAUUUCUAGAGUCUUGCAGAUGAAAUGACUCGUUCCCUGAACGUAGCGAGUAUAAAAAAGGGAUUAGAUGAAAAAAUGAUGUUACUGGGAAGGAAAUACUGUCGGAGGAACAUGGCCUAGUAUAACAGGUUUGGUAGCAGAUAUUCACAUUGUUGAAAACUGAGGUGAUACAUGUCUUCAUGUUUGUCGUGAAGCUUAAUCCCCAAAAAGCUUCAGGACAAGAAUGACAUACCCGAAGCACUGAGGGAAUCGAGCAAAAGCUCAGGUGUACAAAAGCUCAAGAUGUCCCCACAUCUUUGGGAUUCAUAGCUUGGUAAUUUGUACCUUUGGAUUCUCAUAUCCUGUCUCACUGAAACCAUGAAUGGCCAUAGUACUCGCAGGUGGCAAGGACUGUAAGAUGGUUGGGAACCCGCAAGCAGAGGCGAGCUAAUGAGCCGGUUUAGUUCUUGACAGUCAGAGAAGAACCCGUUGAAACACAACCAAGAACCAGAACAGAGCGGGAUCAGAUGGAGAAGCUGAAUCAGAGAUGAGAAACAACCCACCAGUCACUCUUUCUGAUUUUUGCACUGUUGCCCACAGUAUCUUAUUACACUUUAGAUCUUAUGGAUUAGAUCAACUGCAAAAAAGUGUUUCCUUUUUUUUUUCCAUUAAAAACUGAAUCUAGACUACAUAAUAAUAUAAAACUAAAAACAGCUAAAACCUUCUUUUUUUUCCCUUGCUUUCCAACAUUGAAAAUGGACAAGCAUCAUCUACAAGGGGCUUCUUUUUACACACACAAAAAAAGGUAUAUACAUUUUCCACAUCCACUAACAAACUCCCAAAA